Molecule: ribosomal RNA, 253 nt
Filed under: uncultured bacterium
Lineage: Bacteria
Description: partial 16S ribosomal RNA
Rfam family: Bacterial small subunit ribosomal RNA
Source: RNAcentral
UACGAAGGGGGCUAGCGUUGUUCGGAAUCACUGGGCGUAAAGGGCGCGUAGGCGGCUUUAUAAGUCGGGGGUGAAAGCCUGUGGCUCAACCACAGAAUUGCCUUCGAUACUGUAGAGCUUGAGACCGGAAGAGGUAAGUGGAACUGCGAGUGUAGAGGUGAAAUUCGUAGAUAUUCGCAAGAACACCAGUGGCGAAGGCGGCUUACUGGACCGGUAUUGACGCUGAGGUGCGAAAGCGUGGGGAGCAAACAGG